UCCGAAGCUCCAACAAGGGGGAGGCUUUGAAUAUCUAAAGCUUGUAGGAUCGACUCGCAGUCGAAAUCUUUCAUUGCUUCAGUGUCCCAACACUGGAUACACCCUUGCCUAUCUGAAAGAUCCAUCAACGAUGAUUGGACAGGCUACCAUCUACAUACGUCCACUUCAACAGGAUCUACCCUUAGAUUGUGAGAGCUCACGUCCGGCCUCUGGUCCAGUCAUCCCCUGCAUCACUUGUCAGAAGGAAGUUCCCUUUUCAGAGAUGAAGCCGCACAGAUUGAGCUGCGAUGGAAUGGAAGCUUAUUAAAGAACCCACUCAAGCUGCCAAAGUUUUCAAAGAGAAUCUGCUAUGGAAACAUGCAACUGGGAAACCACUUAGAAUGAAGAUGGAUGAAAGGGAGUCUGAAGAGGACCGGGAACGGGAACUUCUCUUAUUCUAAACAGCAGCAAGAAUGGGCAUGUCCACUUCAUACUUCGUACUCUGGUUGGUAAGUAAUAUAAAGUUUAUAAUAUAAAUACAUCAGUACAGUUUUUACCAC
This is a long non-coding RNA of Pungitius pungitius (ninespine stickleback), 539 nucleotides long. RefSeq lists it as uncharacterized. The record is from RefSeq and is a predicted model, not a curated record. Lineage: Eukaryota; Metazoa; Chordata; Actinopteri; Perciformes; Gasterosteidae. The transcript has 3 exons.